AUGGGGCGGAGGAGGUGGGGUGGAAUGCGGAGGGACCGGCAGAGGAUGGAGGGGGAGGGAAUGUGGGGCUGGGAUGGAGAUGGGGCUGGGAUGGAUGUGGGGCUGGGAUGUGGGGCUGGGAUGUGGGUGGUGGUGUGGGGUGAGAAAGGAAUGGGGGCACGGGUGGAGCUGAUAUGUGGGGCUGACUCAUAUGGGGCGCUAUGGGGUCCCUAUGGGGUUCUAUGGGGUCUCUAUGGGUCUCUAUGGGUCUCUAUGGGUCCCUAUGGGGUCUCUAUGUAUCUCUAUGGGGCUCUAUGGGGCUCUAUGGGUCUCUAUGGGUCUCUAUGGGUCCCUAUGGGGUCUCUAUGGAUCUCUAUGGGGUCCCUAGGGGUCCCUAUGGGUCUCUAUGGGUCUCUAUGGGGUCUCUAUGGGUCUCUAUGUGUCCCUAUGGCGUCUCUAUGGGUCUCUAUGUAUCUCUAUGGGUCCCUAUGGGGUCUCUAUGGAUCUCUAUGGGUCUCUAUGGAGUCUCUAUGUAUCCCUAUGGGUCUCUAUGUGUCUCUAUGGGUCCCUAUGGGUCUCUAUGUGUCCCUAUGGGUCUCUAUAGGUCCCUAUGGGUCUCUAUGGGUCCCUAUGUGUCCCUAUGGGUCUCUAUGUGUCNNNAUGGGUCUCUAUGGGGUCUCUAUGGGUCCCUAUGGGUCCCUAUGGGUCUCUGUGGGUCUCUAUGGGGUCUCUAUGGGUCCCUAUGGGUCCCUAUGGGUCUCUAUGGGUCCCUAUGGGUCUCUAUGGGUCCCUAUGGGGUCUCUAUGGGUCUCUAUGGGUCCCUAUGGGUCUCUAUGGGUCCCUAUGGGGUCUCUAUGGGUCCCUAUGGGUCCAUAUGGGUCUCUAUGGGGUCUCUAUGUAUCUCUAUGGGGUCUCUAUGGGUCCCUAUGGGUCCCUAUGGGUCUCUAUGGGGUCUCUAUGGGUCUCUAUGGGUCUCUAUGGGGCUCUAUGGGUCCCUAUGGGUCCCUAUGGGGUCUCUAUGUAUCUCUAUGGGUCUCUAUGGCGUCCCUAUGGGUCCCUAUGGGUCUCUAUGGGUUUCUAUGGGGUCUCUAUGGAGUCUCUAUGGGUCCCUAUGUAUCUCUAUGGGUCUCUAUGGGUUUCUAUGGGGUCCCUAUGGGUCCCUAUGGGUCUCUAUGGGUCCCACCCCAGACCGGAAGUGCCCCUCUCCCCCCCACUUCCGCCUCCUCCGCUCUGCCCCACUUUCCCACCGGAAGUAGUUUUAACCUCCCCCCUCUACUGCGCAUGCGCGACUCCCGUGACCGAAAGGGGGCGUGGUUUCAGGGUUAG
Molecule: long non-coding RNA, 1305 nt
Filed under: Coturnix japonica (Japanese quail)
Lineage: Eukaryota; Metazoa; Chordata; Aves; Galliformes; Phasianidae
Description: lncRNA (ENSCJPG00005006425.1)
Source: RNAcentral